RNAcentral lists this ribosomal RNA (468 nucleotides) under uncultured bacterium. Its description in RNAcentral is "partial 16S ribosomal RNA". It matches the Rfam family "Bacterial small subunit ribosomal RNA", at positions 28 to 507 of the family's 1533-position model. The record is from RNAcentral.
GACGAACGCUGGCGGCGUGCUUAACACAUGCAAGUCGAACGGAAAGGCCCUGCUUUUGUGGGGUGCUCGAGUGGCGAACGGGUGAGUAACACGUGAGUAACCUGCCCUUGACUUUGGGAUAACUUCAGGAAACUGGGGCUAAUACCGGAUAGGAGCUCCUGCUGCAUGGUGGGGGUUGGAAAGUUUCGGCGGUUGGGGAUGGACUCGCGGCUUAUCAGCUUGUUGGUGGGGUAGUGGCUUACCAAGGCUUUGACGGGUAGCCGGCCUGAGAGGGUGACCGGCCACAUUGGGACUGAGAUACGGCCCAGACUCCUACGGGAGGCAGCAGUGGGGAAUAUUGCACAAUGGGCGGAAGCCUGAUGCAGCAACGCCGCGUGCGGGAUGACGGCCUUCGGGUUGUAAACCGCUUCCGCCUGUGACGAAGCGUGAGUGACGGUAAUGGGUAAAGAAGCACCGGGUAACUACGUG